CCUACGGGAGGCAGCAGUGGGGAAUAUUGCACAAUGGGGGAAACCCUGAUGCAGCGACGCCGCGUGAGUGAAGAAGUAUUUCGGUAUGUAAAGCUCUAUCAGCAGGGAAGAAAACGAUGGUACCUGAUUAAGAAGCCACGGCUAACUACGUGCCAGCAGCCGCGGUAAUACGUAGGGAGCAAGCGUUAUCCGGAUUUACUGGGUGUAAAGGGGGCGUAGACGGCAGCACAAGUCUGGAGUGAAAUGCCGGGGCUUAACCUCGGAAUUGCUUUGGAAACUGUGCGGCUAGAGAGCAGGAGAGGUAAGUGGAAUUCCUGGUGUAGCGGUGAAAUGCGUAGAGAUUAGGAGGAACACCAGUGGCGAAGGCGGCUUACUGGGCUGUAACUGACGUUGAGGCUCGAAAGCGUGGGGAGCAAACAGGAUUAGAUACCCCAGUAGUC
RNAcentral lists this ribosomal RNA (440 nucleotides) under uncultured bacterium. RNAcentral describes it as "partial 16S ribosomal RNA". It matches the Rfam family "Bacterial small subunit ribosomal RNA", at positions 338 to 795 of the family's 1533-position model. The record is from RNAcentral.